This 884-nucleotide non-coding RNA is filed under the name Trichomonas vaginalis G3. Its description in RNAcentral is "Eukaryotic large subunit ribosomal RNA". It matches the Rfam family "Eukaryotic large subunit ribosomal RNA", at positions 259 to 1420 of the family's 3401-position model. Lineage: Eukaryota; Parabasalia; Trichomonadida; Trichomonadidae. The record is from Rfam by way of RNAcentral.
GGAGAGUCGGAUACUUUGAGAGUAGUGUCUUAAGGGGGUGGUAUGUCCCAUCCAAGGCUAAAUAACGUGAGGAGACCGAUAGAUUACAAGUAGUGUGAACGAAAGAUGAAAAGAACUCUAAAACAGAGGGUGAAAAGUUCCUGAACUUGCUUAGGGUUAAGGCUAUUUAUAGUACCCGUCUUGAAACACGGAUUAGGGAGUUUAUCUGUAGUGCGAGUCUUUGCACGUUAACUGUAAAGGCGUAGAGAAAGCAACUGGCGUUUGCAUGGCUACUGAGCAUUACUGAUAGGACCCGAAAGGUGGUGAACUUUGCCUGCACAGGUUGAAGUCAGGGGAAACUCUGAUGGAGGACCGUACGGGUUAUUGAUGUGCAAAUCAUUUUUCUGAUGUAGGUAAAGGUGCGAAAGACUCAUCGAACCACCUAAUAGCUGGUUUCCUCCGAAGUUUCCCUCAGGAUAGCUGUAAUGCAUUUAGUUAAGGGGAGUAGAGAUAUGGGUAGAGGUGCAGGGAGCCUUCGGGUUCUCAACUUAUUUCCAAACUUCGAACCUCCUUGUUAGGCAUUUACCUAACUGGAAAUGCUUAAAUGAAUUAGCGUUACAAGUGGGCUCUGACCGGUAAGCGGUCAUGGCGAAAUGGGAUGAACCAUACGUCUGAAUAAGGUGCCGAAAUGUACUAUCACUGAUACCAUAAAGGGAGUCCAUGUAUUUAGACAGCAGGUCGGUGCCCCUAAAAGCAGGUAUCCGCUAAAGAGUGUGUUAAAACUCACCUGCCGAAUACUAGGGCCCCGAAAAUGAAUGGCGCAUAUAGUACUACCGAUCUCAGACAUCAGUUCUAUUGAAAUGAGAGUAGGGGGAUGUGGACAUUUUUGUGAAGGUGCAAUGUGA